RNAcentral lists this ribosomal RNA (207 nucleotides) under uncultured bacterium. RNAcentral's name for it is "partial 16S ribosomal RNA". It matches the Rfam family "Bacterial small subunit ribosomal RNA", at positions 1286 to 1500 of the family's 1533-position model. The record is from RNAcentral.
UCUCAGUUCGGAUCGGAGUCUGCAACCCGACUCCGUGAAGCUGGAUUCGCUAGUAAUCGCGCAUCAGCCAUGGCGCGGUGAAUACGUUCCCGGGCCUUGUACACACCGCCCGUCAAGCCAUGGGAGCCGGGGGUGCUUGAAGUGCGUCGCCGCGAGGCGCGCCCUAGAGCAAAACCGGUGACUGGGGCUAAGUCGUAACAAGGUAAC